RNAcentral lists this ribosomal RNA (640 nucleotides) under Blautia sp. KLE 1732. Its description in RNAcentral is "bacterial SSU rRNA". It matches the Rfam family "Bacterial small subunit ribosomal RNA", at positions 90 to 748 of the family's 1533-position model. Lineage: Bacteria; Bacillati; Bacillota; Clostridia; Lachnospirales; Lachnospiraceae. The record is from RNAcentral.
UUCUAGUGGCGGACGGGUGAGUAACGCGUGGGUAACCUGCCUUAUACAGGGGGAUAACAGUCAGAAAUGACUGCUAAUACCGCAUAAGCGCACAGAGCUGCAUGGCUCGGUGUGAAAAACUCCGGUGGUAUAAGAUGGACCCGCGUUGGAUUAGCUAGUUGGUGAGGUAACGGCCCACCAAGGCGACGAUCCAUAGCCGGCCUGAGAGGGUGAACGGCCACAUUGGGACUGAGACACGGCCCAGACUCCUACGGGAGGCAGCAGUGGGGAAUAUUGCACAAUGGGGGAAACCCUGAUGCAGCGACGCCGCGUGAAGGAAGAAGUAUCUCGGUAUGUAAACUUCUAUCAGCAGGGAAGAAAAUGACGGUACCUGACUAAGAAGCCCCGGCUAACUACGUGCCAGCAGCCGCGGUAAUACGUAGGGGGCAAGCGUUAUCCGGAUUUACUGGGUGUAAAGGGAGCGUAGACGGAUGGACAAGUCUGAUGUGAAAGGCUGGGGCUCAACCCCGGGACUGCAUUGGAAACUGCCCGUCUUGAGUGCCGGAGAGGUAAGCGGAAUUCCUAGUGUAGCGGUGAAAUGCGUAGAUAUUAGGAGGAACACCAGUGGCGAAGGCGGCUUACUGGACGGUAACUGACGUUG